UGGGGAAUUUGGACAAUGGGCGAAAGCCUGAUCCAGCAAUGCCGCGUGUGUGAAGAAGGCCUUCGGGUUGUAAAGCACUUUUGUCCGGAAAGAAAUCCUUGGCUCUAAUACAGUCGGGGGAUGACGGUACCGGAAGAAUAAGCACCGGCUAACUACGUGCCAGCAGCCGCGGUAAUACGUAGGGUGCAAGCGUUAAUCGGAAUUACUGGGCGUAAAGCGUGCGCAGGCGGUUUGCUAAGACCGAUGUGAAAUCCCCGGGCUCAACCUGGGAACUGCAUUGGUGACUGGCAGGCUAGAGUAUGGCAGAGGGGGGUAGAAUUCCACGUGUAGCAGUGAAAUGCGUAGAGAUGUGGAGGAAUACCGAUGGCGAAGGCAGCCCCCUGGGCCAAUACUGACGCUCAUGCACGAAAGCGUGGGGAGCAAACAGGAUUAGAUACCCUGGUAGUCCACGCCCUAAACGAUGUCAACUAGUUGUUGGGGAUUCAUUUCCUUAGUAACGUAGCUAACGCGUGAAGUUGACCGCCUGGGGAGUACGGUCGCAAGAUUAAAACUCAAAUGGAAUUGACGGGGUCAUAGCUGUUUCC
Molecule: ribosomal RNA, 584 nt
Filed under: uncultured bacterium
Lineage: Bacteria
Description: partial 16S ribosomal RNA
Rfam family: Bacterial small subunit ribosomal RNA
Source: RNAcentral